GGGCGUAUAGCUCAAUGGCAGAGCAAUCAGCUCAUAACUGAGAGUGUCUUGGUUCGAGUCCAAGUACGCCCA
RNAcentral lists this transfer RNA (72 nucleotides) under Candidatus Flexifilum breve. Its description in RNAcentral is "tRNA-Ile". It matches the Rfam family "tRNA". Rfam says of the family: Transfer RNA (tRNA) molecules are approximately 80 nucleotides in length. Lineage: Bacteria; Bacillati; Chloroflexota; Anaerolineae; Aggregatilineales; Candidatus Flexifilaceae. The record is from RNAcentral.